RNAcentral lists this ribosomal RNA (1355 nucleotides) under Escherichia coli. RNAcentral's name for it is "partial 23S ribosomal RNA". It matches the Rfam family "Bacterial large subunit ribosomal RNA", at positions 165 to 1563 of the family's 2925-position model. Lineage: Bacteria; Pseudomonadati; Pseudomonadota; Gammaproteobacteria; Enterobacterales; Enterobacteriaceae. The record is from RNAcentral.
CAUAGGUUAAUGAGGCGAACCGGGGGAACUGAAACAUCUAAGUACCCCGAGGAAAAGAAAUCAACCGAGAUUCCCCCAGUAGCGGCGAGCGAACGGGGAGGAGCCCAGAGCCUGAAUCAGUGUGUGUGUUAGUGGAAGCGUCUGGAAAGGCGCGCGAUACAGGGUGACAGCCCCGUACACAAAAAUGCACAUACUGUGAGCUCGAUGAGUAGGGCGGGACACGUGGUAUCCUGUCUGAAUAUGGGGGGACCAUCCUCCAAGGCUAAAUACUCCUGACUGACCGAUAGUGAACCAGUACCGUGAGGGAAAGGCGAAAAGAACCCCGGCGAGGGGAGUGAAAAAGAACCUGAAACCGUGUACGUACAAGCAGUGGGAGCCUCUUAAUGGGGUGACUGCGUACCUUUUGUAUAAUGGGUCAGCGACUUAUAUUCUGUAGCAAGGUUAACCGAAUAGGGGAGCCGAAGGGAAACCGAGUCUUAACUGGGCGUUAAGUUGCAGGGUAUAGACCCGAAACCCGGUGAUCUAGCCAUGGGCAGGUUGAAGGUUGGGUAACACUAACUGGAGGACCGAACCGACUAAUGUUGAAAAAUUAGCGGAUGACUUGUGGCUGGGGGUGAAAGGCCAAUCAAACCGGGAGAUAGCUGGUUCUCCCCGAAAGCUAUUUAGGUAGCGCCUCGUGAAUUCAUCUCCGGGGGUAGAGCACUGUUUCGGCAAGGGGGUCAUCCCGACUUACCAACCCGAUGCAAACUGCGAAUACCGGAGAAUGUUAUCACGGGAGACACACGGCGGGUGCUAACGUCCGUCGUGAAGAGGGAAACAACCCAGACCGCCAGCUAAGGUCCCAAAGUCAUGGUUAAGUGGGAAACGAUGUGGGAAGGCCCAGACAGCCAGGAUGUUGGCUUAGAAGCAGCCAUCAUUUAAAGAAAGCGUAAUAGCUCACUGGUCGAGUCGGCCUGCGCGGAAGAUGUAACGGGGCUAAACCAUGCACCGAAGCUGCGGCAGCGACGCUUAUGCGUUGUUGGGUAGGGGAGCGUUCUGUAAGCCUGUGAAGGUGGCCUGUGAGGGUUGCUGGAGGUAUCAGAAGUGCGAAUGCUGACAUAAGUAACGAUAAAGCGGGUGAAAAGCCCGCUCGCCGGAAGACCAAGGGUUCCUGUCCAACGUUAAUCGGGGCAGGGUGAGUCGACCCCUAAGGCGAGGCCGAAAGGCGUAGUCGAUGGGAAACAGGUUAAUAUUCCUGUACUUGGUGUUACUGCGAAGGGGGGACGGAGAAGGCUAUGUUGGCCGGGCGACGGUUGUCCCGGUUUAAGCGUGUAGGCUGGUUUUCCAGGCAAAUCCGGAAAAUCAAGGCUGAGGCG